CCUACCCCCUCCUGUCCUCGGCCGCAGCCACUGAGUCGCCUCCUGCCUCCACCCUUCCCCCUCGUGUGCCGCCUCUAUCCUGCCUCUGCACCUCCGCCGCCACCCUUCCCGUCCACCACUCUGCUCCUUGACCAUCCCCUCGCCGACCCCGACCCUCCCCUCGCCAACCACCACGAUGCCUCCUGGUUGUAAGCGGGGAACAGGCAAGGCCCAAGCAGCAGUCUUCGAGUAUUGUAGUGUUGCUGGCAAAGGCAAACACCUGAAUUUAGGAACGAUGAGCAUUGAAACAACCAAAAAGACCUACUAUGGCCUGCUGAUACAAACUAAUAGCUCUUCUGAUGGAAGUGCGCAACUGGACAUGAAGUGAUGUGGUGUGAAGAGCUACUGUGUUGUUCCAUGUACAUGUGUGAUAUGUUUAAUGUGAUUUGACAAUGGAUGCGUACAUUUUGAUUUUUGAAAUCGUUUCAAUAUAUGCUUUGGGCUUAUGGUCCGCCACAAUGGUCUUCAUCCACAUUUGUCUGGGUUGUAAUGCAAAUGUAGAAUUGGGCCUUUUUGGCAAUUGAAUAUUUUGUGACGAAUCAAAUUGUCACAAUGGGCUUGCCACAUCA
This is a long non-coding RNA of Panicum virgatum (switchgrass), 608 nucleotides long. RefSeq lists it as uncharacterized. The record is from RefSeq and is a predicted model, not a curated record. Lineage: Eukaryota; Viridiplantae; Streptophyta; Magnoliopsida; Poales; Poaceae. The transcript has 3 exons.